UACGUAGGGGGCAAGCGUUGUCCGGAAUCAUUGGGCGUAAAGAGCGCGUAGGCGGCCCGGUAAGUCCGCUGUGAAAGUCAAGGGCUCAACCCUUGAAUGCCGGUGGAUACUGUCGGGCUAGAGUCCGGAAGAGGCGAGUGGAAUUCCUGGUGUAGCGGUGAAAUGCGCAGAUAUCAGGAAGAACACCCGUGGCGAAGGCGGUUCUCUGGGACGGUACUGACGCUGAGACGCGAAAGCGUGGGGAGCGAACAGG
RNAcentral lists this ribosomal RNA (253 nucleotides) under uncultured bacterium. Its description in RNAcentral is "partial 16S ribosomal RNA". It matches the Rfam family "Bacterial small subunit ribosomal RNA", at positions 524 to 776 of the family's 1533-position model. The record is from RNAcentral.